UACGGAGGGUGCAAGCGUUGUCCGGAAUCAUUGGGUGUAAAGGGUGCGUAGGCGGGCCACUAAGUCUGAGGUGAAAUCCUGCCGCUUAACGGUAGAAUGGCCCUGGAUACUGGUGGUCUUGAGUACAGAAGAGGUCGGUGGAAUUCGUAGUGUAGCGGUGAAAUGCAUAGAUAUUACGAAGAACACCAGUGGCGAAGGCGGCCGACUGGUCUGUAACUGACGCUGAGGCACGAAAGCGUGGGGAGCGAACAGG
This 253-nucleotide ribosomal RNA is filed under the name uncultured bacterium. RNAcentral's name for it is "partial 16S ribosomal RNA". It matches the Rfam family "Bacterial small subunit ribosomal RNA", at positions 524 to 776 of the family's 1533-position model. The record is from RNAcentral.